This 116-nucleotide small RNA is filed under the name Marmota monax (woodchuck). The record is from RNAcentral. Lineage: Eukaryota; Metazoa; Chordata; Mammalia; Rodentia; Sciuridae.
GUUGGGUUCAGUGGCAUGCACCUGCAGUCCCAGCUACUCGGGAAGCUGAGGCAGGAGGAUCACCUGAGCCCAGGAGUUCAAGGCAAGCUAGGCAAAAGAAUAAGACCCUGGCUCAA